This 83-nucleotide transfer RNA is filed under the name Clostridia bacterium. Its description in RNAcentral is "tRNA-Leu". It matches the Rfam family "tRNA". From Rfam's summary of the family: Transfer RNA (tRNA) molecules are approximately 80 nucleotides in length. Their secondary structure includes four short double-helical elements and three loops (D, anti-codon, and T loops). Further hydrogen bonds mediate the characteristic L-shaped molecular structure. tRNAs have two regions of fundamental functional importance: the anti-codon, which is responsible for specific mRNA codon recognition, and the 3' end, to which the tRNAs corresponding amino acid is attached (by aminoacyl-tRNA synthetases). tRNAs cope with the degeneracy of the genetic code in two manners: having more than one tRNA (with a specific anti-codon) for a particular amino acid; and 'wobble' base-pairing, i.e. permitting non-standard base-pairing at the 3rd anti-codon position. The record is from RNAcentral. Lineage: Bacteria; Bacillati; Bacillota; Clostridia.
GGGAUUGUGGCGGAAUCGGCAGACGCGCACGUUUAAGGGGCGUGUGAGCAAUCGUAAGGGUUCAAGUCCCUUCAAUCCCACCA